GACGAACCGAGCGAACGUUGUUCGGAAUCACUGGGCUUAAGGGGCGCGUAGGCGGGCAAGCAAGUCCGGGGUGAAAGCUUUCGGCUCAACCGGAAAAGGGCCUUGGAUACUGCUUGUCUGGAGGGAGGUAGGGGCCCGUGGAACUUCCGGUGGAGCGGUGAAAUGCGUUGAUAUCGGAAGGAACGCCGGUGGCGAAAGCGACGGGCUGGAUCUCUACUGACGCUGAGGCGCGAAAGCCAGGGGAGCAAACGGG
RNAcentral lists this ribosomal RNA (253 nucleotides) under uncultured bacterium. RNAcentral's name for it is "partial 16S ribosomal RNA". It matches the Rfam family "Bacterial small subunit ribosomal RNA", at positions 524 to 776 of the family's 1533-position model. The record is from RNAcentral.